GACGAACGCUGGCGGCGUGCUUAACACAUGCAAGUCGAACGGAAAGGCCCUGCUUUCUUGGUGUGCUCGAUUGGCGAACGGGUGAGUAACACGUGAGUAACCUGCUCUUGACUUUGGGAUAACUUCAGGAAACUGGGGCUACUACCGUAUAGGAGCCCCUGCUGCAUGGUGGGGGUUGGAAAUUUUCGGCGGUUGGGGUUGGACUCGCGGCUUAUCAGCUUGUUGGUGGGGUAGUGGCUUACCCAGGCUUUGACGGGUACCCGGCUUGAGAGGGUGAACGGCGACAAGGGGACUGAGAGACGGAGCAGAGUCCUACGGGAGACAGCAGGGGGGAAUAUUGCACAAUGGGCGGAAGCCGGAUGCAGAAACGCCGCGUGCGGGAUGACGGCCUUCGGGGUGAAAACAGCUGUCGCCUGUGACGAAGCGGGAGUGACGGUAAUGGGUAAAGAAGCACCGGCUAACUACGUG
This 468-nucleotide ribosomal RNA is filed under the name uncultured bacterium. RNAcentral describes it as "partial 16S ribosomal RNA". It matches the Rfam family "Bacterial small subunit ribosomal RNA", at positions 28 to 507 of the family's 1533-position model. The record is from RNAcentral.